UCCAACUGCCAAACUCCAGCUUGGUCGCCCAGAGCUGGACUUCCCUGAGUCUUGCAGGUGCAGGGUAUGGUCCCGGUGUGAUGAGUUGAACCCCACAGCACUCGGAGAUUAUUCAGAUCUGCAGGCUCUGUUGCCUGCCUGCUUGGGAGGGGAGCUUUUUUUCUUCCCACAGACUGUGCCCUAGCCCCACAUUCCUCAUAACAAAGUCUCAGAGCCAAGUUCAUCAAGAGUUCCUGGGUUUUUCCAAGGCAUGUGCAGACUGUGCCAUCGUUCAUGUGCAACACCAAGGGAAGGAGAAGGGCGCCCAUGUCCACCACACUCACCAGAGGGGUAGCACUUGGCGACAGCACAAGAUGGCAGAUCCCGGGAGCCUGAAUAACUAUCACCUCCCCACCCCAUCAUCAGGUCCAAGUACUCCUCAGCGCCUGAAGUCAGAGCCCAUGACUCUCUGGGUCUUCUGUCCUGGGAUCAUCAGAGGUCAGAGCCAGGGCCGAGGCAAGGCUCAUAGGAGGUUAAGGAAGCACGGUAGCACACAGGCAGACAUGGUGCUGGAGAAGGGGCUGAGAGUUCUACAUCUUGGCAGGCAGCAGGAAGAGACAGUGAGCCAAUGGACCUCGCUUGAACUUCCGAAACCUCAAAGCCCACCACCAGAGUGACACACUUCUUCAAUGAGAUCACACCUCCUAAUGGUGCCAUGCCCUGUGAGCCAGUAAGGGCUAUUUUCAUUCAAACUACCACAUUCUACUCUCUGGCCCCUGAGAGUCUGUGGCCAUAUCAUAGUGCAAAGUCCAUCUGGUCUGACCAAAAGAGUCCCCAUGGUCUAUCACAGUCUCAACACGGCUUAAAAGUCCAAAGUUCGAAGUCUCUUCUGAGACUCAUGCAAUGUCUUAACUGUAAUCACCUGUAACAUCAAAUGAAAGCAGAUCACAUACUUCCGACAUGCAGCAGCACAUACUGUUCUGAAAGGGAGGAAAGGGAACAUACCGAGGAAGUACCAGACCAAAGCAAGAUGGCAACCAACUGGGCAAACUCCAAACUCCUUAUCUCCGCGUCUGAUGUCAGAGCAGACUUCAGAUCUCCAACUCCCUUCAGCUUUGUUGACUGCAACAUACUUCUGAAGUGGAAACUUAAGGGCUCUUUAGAAAGUCAGUUGUGAGGCUGGAGAGAUGGCUUAGUGGUUAAGAGCACUGACUGCUCUUCCAGAGGUCCUGAGUUCAAUUCCCAGCAACCACAUGGUGGCUCACGACCAUCUGUAAUGGGAUGUGUUUCUGGUGUGUUUGAGGACAGCUAUGGUGUACUUAUAUAUAAUAAAUAAAUCUUAAAAAAAAAAAGAAAG
Molecule: long non-coding RNA, 1336 nt
Organism: Rattus norvegicus (Norway rat)
Lineage: Eukaryota; Metazoa; Chordata; Mammalia; Rodentia; Muridae
Source: RefSeq, a predicted model, not a curated record